This 65-nucleotide transfer RNA is filed under the name Parasacculina yatsui. Its description in RNAcentral is "tRNA-Cys". Lineage: Eukaryota; Metazoa; Arthropoda; Thecostraca; Polyascidae. The record is from RNAcentral.
AGCAUUUUUAGUUUAUAAAAAUAUCAUUUUGCAAAAAUGAAGAUGAAUUACUUGUUAUUGUGCUU